This 253-nucleotide ribosomal RNA is filed under the name uncultured bacterium. Its description in RNAcentral is "partial 16S ribosomal RNA". It matches the Rfam family "Bacterial small subunit ribosomal RNA", at positions 524 to 776 of the family's 1533-position model. The record is from RNAcentral.
UACGUAGGGGGCAAGCGUUGUCCGGAAUCAUUGGGCGUAAAGAGCGUGUAGGCGGCCAGGUAGGUCUGCUGUGAAAACUCGAGGCUUAACCUCGAGACGUCGGCGGAAACCAUCUGGCUAGAGUCCGGAAGAGGAGAGUGGAAUUCCUGGUGUAGCGGUGAAAUGCGCAGAUAUCAGGAAGAACACCCGUGGCGAAGGCGGCUCUCUGGGACGGUACUGACGCUGAGACGCGAAAGCGUGGGGAGCGAACAGG